CCUACCUGGUAUAAAAUGAGAGGCCAUCAUUAGGGGCCCACAUGACAAGGAACUUGGAGUGACCUCCAUGAGACCACCAGCAAAAAGUUAGGGUAUGCAGUUAUACACUUGCAAAGAAAUGGGUUCUGCAACAACCAGAGUAAGCAGAGAAACAAUUCUUCCCCAGUAGAGCCUCCAGAUGAGAAUGCAGAUUGGUUGACAUCUUGAUAGCUGUCUUCUGAGGCUUUAAGUAGAGGACUUCAGUAAGCCAUAUCCAGAAUCCUGACAUACAGAAAAUCGUGAUGCUGAGGUAUUCCCUGUAUCUUCUUUGAACAAUGGGAUGGAAUGGCAUACAGCAGAAAUAAUGCUCUUAGUUUCUGCCUUGGACCAGAAGCUCUCUCUUCCUGUUACUUGGAGCCCUGUGUCUCCCUGUGAGUAGCCCAACUACCUUCCUGCAGAGAUAUCAUGAAUCUUGGGGAGCACACAGAAAGGAAGACAGCCCCCAGAAAUAGUUACUUGCUGAUUGCUGAACUGAGGGUCUCCGUUCCUCCUGAACUUGUGGCACAAUGUUUUCCUCGAUUUUUCACCAAAUGGACAUCUUCCAAAUCAGGCAGCUCACAUUGGCUUCAUUGGAGCAGCAAGUGAGUGGGCAAGAAAGAGUUCAAGAAAGAUGGUUCCAAAUAUAUGCAAGUCUUAGUCACCUGUAACCUAAUAUCAGUAGUGUCAUCCCAUCACCUUUACUGUGUUCUAGUCAUUAGAACCAAACUACUAGUUCCAGCCCACACUCAAGGGUAUGGAAUUACACAAGGGAAAGAAUACCAGGACGUAAAGAUCAUUCAUGACAAUUUUAGCAGUCUGUCUGCUACAAAUCCUUAGCUUUCCAGAAGUAUACAAAAGAAUUUUAGCCCCUCUUCGGUCAUGGAGUUAUCUAUCAAGAUUGAGUUACUCAAAUAACCUGGUAUAUUCUAUGAUUUCUCAUAUUAAACAUUCAAUUUAAUGUCAAUAAUCAA
Long non-coding RNA from Homo sapiens (human), 989 nucleotides. RefSeq lists it as uncharacterized. The transcript is spliced from 3 exons. Lineage: Eukaryota; Metazoa; Chordata; Mammalia; Primates; Hominidae. The record is from RefSeq and is a predicted model, not a curated record.